GCCCGCCCGGCGCAGCCCGGACCCCGCCGGCCGCCCCCGGCCCGCCCGGGGCUCUAGGGAAGGGGCGGCCGGGUCUCAGCCCGGAGGAAGCGGAAAGAAGGUCAUCCCUGAACUGAACAUCUAGGGUUAACUCAGCGCCAAGCUCCUGUUCUUAACAGCCUGAUGUCUCAUGCUAAGAAGCAGGUCACGACAUUUAUCUAAAGAUGCGCCUCUCCCAGCGGGUCGCAGCCUCUCCAGCCUGGCCAUGACCAUGACAGUGACAGCAAAGAGGACCGUUCUUAGUGUGGGGGUAGCCUCUCUUGACCAGGCCUCCCUCUGCAACUGGAAUUGCAGUGACACAGGAGAUUCAAGACAGCAGAGACCCGCCAGGCCAAGGGUCUCACUGUCCCUUCAUCCCAUUAGACAGGUAUUCUCGCUUUCUGCCAAAGCUGCGAUUCCUUUCAAUGUUCAAACAGUUGUGGGCCCCCGAGCUGCUGCAUGCGGCUUGCCUGGUCUGGAGGAAGACAAAGAGGUGGUUAGCUGCAGCUCACAGCCUGGGUUUGAAACAGGCAUGUUUGAGCGAGUGUUUCAAAGGAUGGCAGUGAUCUGCUCAUUUUUAUUACAUUCUUGGGGCAGAAUUUGUCAGCCCUUGGUGACACCCAUUAUAAUGCUUUGACCUCAUUCAGUCACCAAAGGGCAGAUUUCUCUUUGUUCUCUAACAGAAACACAACAUGGCAAGUAAACGUGAGUUCUAAAACGAGACUGUCACCAGGGGUAUUUAUGAGCCUAUCAUGUCUCCGCUGUUGCACUGAGAAGCUCACCUUUGGAGAAGGAGGCAUAUAUGUGCCCCUUAUGGGCCCUCGUGUGACACAGUGGUUGCUAUUUAUGAACCCUGUUUAUUCCCACGAGACAGGAGGAGUAAUCUUAAGGUGAUAUAAGAGAGACUUAGGAGGCUUUCUUUUAACAUUAUAGGGUCAUUAAUUCACUUGACAAACAAUUGUGUUUUUAUUUUUAAAUUUUUUAAAAAAAUUUUAAAUCCUCACCCUAUUGAUUUUAGAGAGAG
Molecule: long non-coding RNA, 1042 nt
Organism: Myotis lucifugus (little brown bat)
Lineage: Eukaryota; Metazoa; Chordata; Mammalia; Chiroptera; Vespertilionidae
Exons: 3
Source: RefSeq, a predicted model, not a curated record